AUCUCUUCUGGGCCUUUUGGCUAAGAUCAAGUGUAGUAUAUUCCCUUCUAAUGCUCAGAAACUUCUAGUAGAAUAUGUACUAAUAGUGAAAUUGGCGGGGGGCGGGGGGGGGGGGAGCAACUUCAGAGGAAAAAAGCCUCCCCGUGUCUUGUUUCCAUGUAUACUACUCAGAAAGCAUAGGCAAGAGUAA
This is a small nuclear RNA of Peromyscus maniculatus bairdii (prairie deer mouse), 190 nucleotides long. RefSeq annotates it as U2 spliceosomal RNA. The record is from RefSeq and is a predicted model, not a curated record. Lineage: Eukaryota; Metazoa; Chordata; Mammalia; Rodentia; Cricetidae.